RNAcentral lists this unclassified non-coding RNA (221 nucleotides) under Hevea brasiliensis (rubber tree). The record is from RNAcentral. Lineage: Eukaryota; Viridiplantae; Streptophyta; Magnoliopsida; Malpighiales; Euphorbiaceae.
CAUUUAGCUGGUUGAUUUAGAAAAUCUUAAUUUGGAGGUACUGGUUGGUGAGUGCUGUUAAUUUGGUAUCAAUGGCGGAGUUGGGUGGGCCAAGAUUGUACAGUUGCUGUAAUUNNNNNNNNNNNACUCCACGAUGAUGUAAUUUCUAAGGCUUUUCAGGGGCGACAUGGUCGAGCCUUUUUAUUCUCUCAUGCAAUGAACAUUAUGGUUGGGCCAAGGGA